UGGGUAACCAGGCAGCAUACAUACCAGGCUGGCUAGAGCAGUGUUUGCUGGGAAAAGCUCCAAGGGGCAGAACCAGUGUCCGAUGCACGAGCCCCCGCUGCACAUGACAUUUAGGGCAGUGCACAGAGAACCAGCAGGGCUGAGUGUCAGGCUCCAGGAGAGAAAUUCUGACACUAGGCGGUGGGGCUUUAAAGCUGCACCAGCUCCUCUUCUGAUAUGCAGAGAUAGGACCCUUGUUUAUGAAUUUCCAAGCCCAAAUUUCUUAUACUGCAUCAUGCAUCUCCUCAAUGUUCGGCACUAAUGAGGUAAGACAUCAUCUAAAAUUAGGCAGUCAGUCCCCCAUGGCAUUUGACGUGGGGGCUGUGAUUUCUGGAGAGUCAAG
Molecule: long non-coding RNA, 382 nt
Filed under: Bos indicus x Bos taurus (hybrid cattle)
Lineage: Eukaryota; Metazoa; Chordata; Mammalia; Artiodactyla; Bovidae
Description: lncRNA (ENSBIXG00005010809.1)
Source: RNAcentral